GACGAACGCUGGCGGCGUGCUUAACACAUGCAAGUCGAACGGGAUGAUUUAGAAGCUUGCUUUUAGAGAAUCUAGUGGCAAACGGGUGAGUAACACGUAGACAACCUGCCGACAGGAUGGGGACAACAUUCCGAAAGGAAUGCUAAUACCGAAUGAAGUCGAGGGAAGGCAUCUUCCUUCGAUGAAAGAUGGCCUCUGAAAAUGCUAUCACCUGUCGAUGGGUCUGCGUCUGAUUAGCUGGUUGGUGAGGUAACGGCUCACCAAGGCGACGAUCAGUAGCCGGUCUGAGAGGAUGAACGGCCACAUUGGGACUGAGACACGGCCCAGACUCCUACGGGAGGCAGCAGUGGGGAAUCUUCCGCAAUGGGCGCAAGCCUGACGGAGCAACGCCGCGUGAGUGAAGAAGGUCUUCGGAUCGUAAAGCUCUGUUGAUGGGGACGAACGUGCGAAGGGUGAAUAAUCCUUUGCA
RNAcentral lists this ribosomal RNA (469 nucleotides) under Selenomonas sp. oral taxon 481. RNAcentral's name for it is "bacterial SSU rRNA". It matches the Rfam family "Bacterial small subunit ribosomal RNA", at positions 28 to 468 of the family's 1533-position model. Lineage: Bacteria; Bacillati; Bacillota; Negativicutes; Selenomonadales; Selenomonadaceae. The record is from RNAcentral.